RNAcentral lists this ribosomal RNA (483 nucleotides) under uncultured bacterium. RNAcentral's name for it is "partial 16S ribosomal RNA". It matches the Rfam family "Bacterial small subunit ribosomal RNA", at positions 30 to 507 of the family's 1533-position model. The record is from RNAcentral.
UUGAACGCUGGCGGCAGGCCUAACCCCUGCCAGUCGAGCGGAUGAAGGGAGCUUGCUCCUGGAUUCAGCGGCGGACGGGUGAGUAAUGCCUAGGAAUCUGCCUGGUAGUGGGGGAUAACGUCCGGAAACGGGCGCUAAUACCGCAUACGUCCUGAGGGAGAAAGUGGGGGAUCUUCGGACCCCACGCUAUCAGAUGAGCCUAGGUCGGAUUAGCUAGUUGGUGGGGUAAAGGCCUACCAAGGCGACGAUCCGUAACUGGUCUGAGAGGAUGAUCAGUCACACUGGAACUGAGACACGGUCCAGACUCCUACGGGAGGCAGCAGUGGGGAAUAUUGGACAAUGGGCGAAAGCCUGAUCCAGCCAUGCCGCGUGUGUGAAGAAGGUCUUCGGAUUGUAAAGCACUUUAAGUUGGGAGGAAGGGCAGUAAGUUAAUACCUUGCUGUUUUGACGUUACCAACAGAAUAAGCACCGGCUAACUUCGUG